This 99-nucleotide non-coding RNA is filed under the name Desulfofarcimen acetoxidans. RNAcentral's name for it is "Desulfotomaculum acetoxidans TPP sequence". It matches the Rfam family "TPP riboswitch aptamer (THI element)". Rfam says of the family: Vitamin B(1) in its active form thiamin pyrophosphate (TPP) is an essential coenzyme that is synthesised by coupling of pyrimidine and thiazole moieties in bacteria. The previously detected thiamin-regulatory element, thi box was extended, resulting in a new, highly conserved RNA secondary structure, the THI element, which is widely distributed in eubacteria and also occurs in some archaea. RNAcentral also lists the same sequence under 1 other name. The record is from RNAcentral. Lineage: Bacteria; Bacillati; Bacillota; Clostridia; Eubacteriales; Peptococcaceae.
AUAGUUGGCUAGGGGUGCCGCGUGGCUGAGAGAGAGUGAUCUCAACCCUCUGAACCUGAUUUGGGUAAUUCCAUCGUAGGGAAGCUGGAACUGUGUUGU